CUACACCAUUAGGUGUAGUGGUAGGAGAGCGUUCUAAGGGCGUUGAAGGUCGAUCGUGAGGACGGCUGGAGCGCUUAGAAGUGAGAAUGCCGGUAUGAGUAGCGAAAGACAGGUGAGAAUCCUGUCCACCGUAUGACUAAGGUUUCCUGGGGAAGGCUCGUCCGCCCAGGGUUAGUCGGGACCUAAGCCGAGGCCGAUAGGCGUAGGCGAUGGACAACAGGUUGAUAUUCCUGUACCAGUUGUUUUUGUUUGAGCAAUGGAGGGACGCAGUAGGCUAAGGAAUGCAUGCGAUUGGAAGUGCAUGUCCAAGCAAUGAGUCUUGAGUAGAGUUAAAUGCUUUACUCUCUAAGGACAAGUUGUGACGGGGAGCGAAAUAAUAGUAGCGAAGUUCCUGAUGUCACACUGCCAAGAAAAGCUUCUAGUGAGAAAACAACUGCCCGUACCGUAAACCGACACAGGUAGUCGAGGAGAGUAUCCUAAGGUGAGCGAGCGAACUCUCGUUAAGGAACUCGGCAAAAUGACCCCGUAACUUCGGGAGAAGGGGUGCUGACUUCGGUCAGCCGCAGUGAAUAGGCCCAAGCGACUGUUUAUCAAAAACACAGGUCUCUGCAAAAUCGUAAGAUGAAGUAUAGGGGCUGACGCCUGCCCGGUGCUGGAAGGUUAAGAGGAUGGGUUAGCUUCGGCGAAGCUCA
RNAcentral lists this ribosomal RNA (692 nucleotides) under Enterococcus faecalis. RNAcentral describes it as "partial 23S ribosomal RNA". It matches the Rfam family "Bacterial large subunit ribosomal RNA", at positions 1207 to 1908 of the family's 2925-position model. Lineage: Bacteria; Bacillati; Bacillota; Bacilli; Lactobacillales; Enterococcaceae. The record is from RNAcentral.